GGAGAGCUGGCUGAGCGGUCGAAAGCGGCGGUCUUGAAAACCGUUGACCCGAAAGGGUCCGGGGGUUCGAAUCCCUCGCUCUCCGCCA
RNAcentral lists this transfer RNA (88 nucleotides) under Gammaproteobacteria bacterium. Its description in RNAcentral is "tRNA-Ser". It matches the Rfam family "tRNA". Rfam says of the family: Transfer RNA (tRNA) molecules are approximately 80 nucleotides in length. Their secondary structure includes four short double-helical elements and three loops (D, anti-codon, and T loops). Further hydrogen bonds mediate the characteristic L-shaped molecular structure. tRNAs have two regions of fundamental functional importance: the anti-codon, which is responsible for specific mRNA codon recognition, and the 3' end, to which the tRNAs corresponding amino acid is attached (by aminoacyl-tRNA synthetases). tRNAs cope with the degeneracy of the genetic code in two manners: having more than one tRNA (with a specific anti-codon) for a particular amino acid; and 'wobble' base-pairing, i.e. permitting non-standard base-pairing at the 3rd anti-codon position. Lineage: Bacteria; Pseudomonadati; Pseudomonadota; Gammaproteobacteria. The record is from RNAcentral.